UUUAUUUGAUUUUGUAGAAAACCGAAAUAAUAUAGUUUUCUGAAACUCUAUGCCGACGACAAGUCGUCGGUAUAGGGUAAGAAUCCAACAUGGCGAUCCGCGUGAAAAUUUUAAUUUCUUUUAAUAAAGACAAAAGAUAGAAAUGACGUCGUUAUUUGAACCCUAUACCAACGACGUAGUUAUCAGUGCAUCGUUCAUUGUUCAGUUGCAGUGAACGAUACACUCUUUCUCUCUCAGACUGACCGACGAUUUUGCACCAUCUUCACCGGCAAUGAGAUAUAGGUACAUAUUUGGUCAUUGUUUUUUCUUGAUUGUUUAUGAUUGCUCAAGUUUUUAACUCCAAAUUUGGGGCUUUUUAUUUGUUGCCAGCCAUGAACCACCAUCCACCCUUCAC
Molecule: long non-coding RNA, 394 nt
Filed under: Lactuca sativa (garden lettuce)
Lineage: Eukaryota; Viridiplantae; Streptophyta; Magnoliopsida; Asterales; Asteraceae
Description: long non-coding RNA (LSAT_LNC007555)
Source: RNAcentral